GUGGGGAAUUUUGGACAAUGGGCGAAAGCCUGAUCCAGCCAUGCCGCGUGUGUGAAGAAGGUCUUCGGAUUGUAAAGCACUUUAAGUUGGGAGGAAGGGCAGUAAGCUAAUACCUUGCUGUUUUGACGUUACCGACAGAAUAAGCACCGGCUAACUUCGUGCCAGCAGCCGCGGUAAUACGAAGGGUGCAAGCGUUAAUCGGAAUUACUGGGCGUAAAGCGCGCGUAGGUGGUUCAGCAAGUUGGAGGUGAAAUCCCCGGGCUCAACCUGGGAACUGCCUCCAAAAAUACUGAGCUAGAGUACGGUAGAGGGUAGUGGAAUUUCCUGUGUAGCGGUGAAAUGCGUAGAUAUAGGAAGGAACACCAGUGGCGAAGGCGACUACCUGGACUGAUACUGACACUGAGGUGCGAAAGCGUGGGGAGCAAACAGGAUUAGAAACCCUUGUAGUCC
This 450-nucleotide ribosomal RNA is filed under the name uncultured bacterium. RNAcentral describes it as "partial 16S ribosomal RNA". It matches the Rfam family "Bacterial small subunit ribosomal RNA", at positions 354 to 796 of the family's 1533-position model. The record is from RNAcentral.